UGAGGAAUUUUGCGCAAUGGGGGAAACCCUGACGCAGCAACGCCGCGUGAGUGAUGAAGGCUUUCGGGUCGUAAAGCUCUGUCAAGUGGGAAGAAUAUGCCCUGUGAUAAUACCAUGGGGCACUGACGGUACCACUGAAGGAAGCACCGGCUAACUCCGUGCCAGCAGCCGCGGUAAUACGGGGGGUGCAAGCGUUAUUCGGAAUCAUUGGGCGUAAAGGGCGCGUAGGCGGCCCCUUAAGUCAGAUGUGAAAGCCCUCAGCUUAACUGAGGAAGUGCAUUUGAAACUAAGGGGCUUGAGUAUGGGAGAGGGAAGCGGAAUUCCUGGUGUAGCGGUGAAAUGCGUAGAUAUCAGGAGGAACACCGGUGGCGAAGGCGGCUUCCUGGACCAAUACUGACGCUGAGGCGCGAAGGCGUGGGGAGCAAACAGG
Molecule: ribosomal RNA, 430 nt
Filed under: uncultured Desulfobacteraceae bacterium
Lineage: Bacteria; Pseudomonadati; Thermodesulfobacteriota; Desulfobacteria; Desulfobacterales; Desulfobacteraceae
Also listed under: 1 other name
Description: bacterial SSU rRNA
Rfam family: Bacterial small subunit ribosomal RNA
Source: RNAcentral